RNAcentral lists this ribosomal RNA (244 nucleotides) under uncultured Caldisericum sp. RNAcentral describes it as "partial 16S ribosomal RNA". It matches the Rfam family "Bacterial small subunit ribosomal RNA", at positions 1140 to 1382 of the family's 1533-position model. Lineage: Bacteria; Pseudomonadati; Caldisericota; Caldisericia; Caldisericales; Caldisericaceae. The record is from RNAcentral.
UCUAAGGGACCGCCAGCGGAAAGCUGGAGGAAGGUGGGGAUGACGUCAAAUCCUCAUGGCCUUUAUGUCCAGGGCUACACACAUGCGACAAUGGUCGAGACAACGCGUUGCAAACCAGUAAUGGUAAGCUAAUCGCAUAAAAUCGACCUCAGUACGGAUUGAGGGUUGCAAUUCACCCUCAUGAAGCUGGAGUUGCUAGUAACCGCAGGUCAGCUAUACUGCGAUGAAUACGUUCCCGGGGCUU